AUUCGCCCUUAGAGUUUGAUCCUGGCUCAGGAUGAACGCUAGCUACAGGCUUAACACAUGCAAGUCGAGGGGAAACGACAUCGAAAGCUUGCUUUUGAUGGGCGUCGACCGGCGCACGGGUGAGUAACGCGUAUCCAACCUGCCCACCACUUGGGGAUAACCUUGCGAAAGUAAGACUAAUACCCAAUGACGUCUCUAGAAGACAUCUGAAGGAGAUUAAAGAUUUAUCGGUGAUGGAUGGGGAUGCGUCUGAUUAGCUUGUUGGCGGGGUAACGGCCCACCAAGGCGACGAUCAGUAGGGGUUCUGAGAGGAAGGUCCCCCACAUUGGAACUGAGACACGGUCCAAACUCCUACGGGAGGCAGCAGUGAGGAAUAUUGGUCAAUGGACGAGAGUCUGAACCAGCCAAGUAGCGUGCAGGAUGACGGCCCUAUGGGUUGUAAACUGCUUUUAUAAGGGAAUAAAGUGAGUCUCGUGAGACUUUUUGCAUGUACCUUAUGAAUAAGGACCGGCUAAUUCCGUGCCAGCAGCCGCGGUAAUACGGAAGGUCCGGGCGUUAUCCGGAUUUAUUGGGUUUAAAGGGAGCGUAGGCCGGAGAUUAAGCGUGUUGUGAAAUGUAGAUGCUCAACAUCUGCACUGCAGCGCGAACUGGUUUCCUUGAGUACGCACAAAGUGGGCGGAAUUCGUGGUGUAGCGGUGAAAUGCUUAGAUAUCACGAAGAACUCCGAUUGCGAAGGCAGCUCACUGGAGCGCAACUGACGCUGAAGCUCGAAAGUGCGGGUAUCGAACAGGAUUAGAUACCCUGGUAGUCCGCACGGUAAACGAUGGAUGCCCGCUGUUGGUCUGAAUAGGUCAGCGGCCAAGCGAAAGCAUUAAGCAUCCCACCUGGGGAGUACGCCGGCAACGGUGAAACUCAAAGGAAUUGACGGAAGGGC
This 934-nucleotide ribosomal RNA is filed under the name uncultured bacterium. RNAcentral's name for it is "bacterial SSU rRNA". It matches the Rfam family "Bacterial small subunit ribosomal RNA", at positions 1 to 922 of the family's 1533-position model. The record is from RNAcentral.